GGAUAACCUGCCCUUAGGUCUGGCAUAACCCCGGGAAACUGGGGAUAAUUCCGGAUAGAUCAUCGAUGCUGGAAUGCGCUUUGAUCCAAAGCUAUUGCGCCUAAGGAUGGGUCUGCGGUCUAUCAGGUUGUAGUGGGUGUAAUGUACCUACUAGCCUACGACGGAUACGGGUUGUGGGAGCAAGAGCCCGGAGAUGGAUUCUGAGACAUGAAUCCAGGCCCUACGGGGCGCAGCAGGCGCGAAAACUUUACAAUGCGGGGAACCGCGAUAAGGGGACACCGAGUGCCAGCAUCCUAUGUUGGCUGUCCAUAUGUCUAAAUCACAUGUGUUAGCAAGGGCCGGGCAAGACCGGUGCCAGCCGCCGCGGUAACACCGGCGGCCCGAGUGGUGGCCACUAUUAUUGGGUCUAAAGGGUCCGUAGCCGGUUUGGUCAGUCUUCCGGGAAAUCUGACGGCUCAACCGUUAGGCUUUCGGGGGAUACUACCAGGCUUGGGACCGGGAGAGGUAAGAGGUACUACGGGGGUAGGAGUGAAAUCUUGUAAUCCCUGUGGGACCACCAGUGGCGAAGGCGUCUUACCAGAACGGGUCCGACGGUGAGGGACGAAAGCUGGGGGCACGAACCGGAUUAGAUACCCGGGUAGUCCCAGCUGUAAACUAUGCUCGCUAGGUGUCAGGGACGGUGCGACCGUUUCUGGUGCCGCAGGGAAGCCGUGAAGCGAGCCACCUGGGAAGUACGGCCGCAAGGCUGAAACUUAA
Molecule: ribosomal RNA, 756 nt
Filed under: Methanomethylovorans sp. enrichment culture
Lineage: Archaea; Methanobacteriati; Methanobacteriota; Methanomicrobia; Methanosarcinales; Methanosarcinaceae
Description: bacterial SSU rRNA
Rfam family: Archaeal small subunit ribosomal RNA
Source: RNAcentral